GUGUCCAUGACUACAAAAUAAGACUGUAAAGCAACGCAGUCGUCCAGCAAACGUCCCAUUUUCGCCCAUCUAUGUUGGAGCUAUUGGAGCUACAGUAUUUCCAACAUCAACACCAAGUGAUGGGUUUCGUUGCGCGGACCGGAUUGCACCUGCUGCCACGCAUUAUAUGCGCUUUAUAUAAAUGCACGCGAAGAUUGCACGAGCACGCAUCUCAGUCUAUGCGUGCGCGUCCUAACUGUGCGCGUGAAGUUAUUUGCGAUAAAUAUCACAGUUACCGCAAACUCUUCGCACGCAUAUGAGAACUGAUGAUAAGUGCGCCUGAGGAUCCUUAUGAACAACAACACCGAAGAGGGUAUUUAUACGACUGGCUCAUGUCUGUGAAUGGGAAAAACCAAGUGGAGUUCAUGUUGUUCUGGGCUUCUCAGGUUGGCAGGGAGAGUGCAGGGAUGGCCGAUAUUUGUGCCCUGAGUUCCCAGUUCCCAAAGUGCUGAAUGGGAGAGGAAUGCACCCGGACAAGCAAAGUUGGCAUGGCCCCUGCCUGAGCUCUCACUGCCUAAUGUGAACUCAUAUCUCACUCAGGAUGCCACUGACAAAGAGCAACUCUCCACAGGCACUGUGUUGCACCCUACUCAAAACCCCAUCUGUCAAGAUGAGGUUUUAUUGUGUUUGUGUGCGAGAGAGUUGGAGAGCUACUGUGGCUUGACUUUCAAAGUGACCCGCAUAAAGAGAAUACAUUUUCGCAGAGUAAUAACACAAGCUCGACUUGACAACAAAAAUGCUUUGAUUCUGCCAAACCGGAGAGGACAACAUGUUCCUUAUGCGAAGGGUCGUGGCUGAUGCUUGCAGGGGAAGUGGUUCGGUCAAUGUAUCGGAGUAAACUUUGACAGGAAAUGUAAAAUGCUCGAGGCAAGGAGGCCAAGUUGACCGAGCUGCCAAAAUGACAAUGUUAAGGAUAGUUGCAUCAAAAAACUCCCAGCACCCCUUUUUUCCCUGCUUUUUUGUGCUUCUGUUAAUGACAGAACAAUGUGAGCAAGAAAUUCCAAGAUGACUUCCUUUAACCAAUAAGCCAACUUUUUUGUUGAGAAACGUAUAAUAAUACACAUUAAUAAGUAAUUGUUGCACUGUAUUCUGUUGGACAGAACCUACACGAUUCCCAAAUUGUUCCAAAUGUUUUGGUCGAUUACGGUAAAUUCUGAAAAUAGGGUAAUUGUUCAGCUGCAGACGGUCUCUUUAUAGACUUUUUUUGUUGGUGAGUAAAGAUUAUUGUGUAGCAACUUCCUUGGCGGUACAGCAUUAACUCAUUUCCAACUAAUAAAAGGACCUAGGCGGGGUGUUUGUUAAGUCAGAAUCCAAGGACUUAAGUGAAAAUCAGGUCAAUUCCAUCGAGUCAUUUCAGCCAGUGGAAAGCUACCCUCAUCCUAUAUUUAAAACCAUCCUCUCUCACUCCCUCCCUCUAUCUUUCUUUCUUUCUUUCUUUCUUUCUUUCAGAAUGCUUUCAGUCAGGCUAAACAGGCGCAUAAACUGCUGACUCAUACCACAAACAAACAAUGAAAGAUGCGGGCAGUUGCAUUAUCGAAUGCUACUUGAGCCAGCUAGGAAAAUACAUUUACUAAUGAGCAGCUCAGCCUUAUGUUUUUAUUCAUGGCAUAUUGAGUUUAUAUUAAAACAUAAAAAAUGUGAUUGGAUGGAGUCUCAUCAGCCUUCAGUUUGACGGUUUAUAAUCUGUAUACAUGAUUUCUGUCUACUGCCAACAAUUAAAUAAAUUUAAUGAAUGUGUACAGU
This is a long non-coding RNA of Myxocyprinus asiaticus (Chinese sucker), 1782 nucleotides long. RefSeq lists it as uncharacterized. The transcript has 3 exons. Lineage: Eukaryota; Metazoa; Chordata; Actinopteri; Cypriniformes; Catostomidae. The record is from RefSeq and is a predicted model, not a curated record.